Molecule: long non-coding RNA, 940 nt
Organism: Equus caballus (horse)
Lineage: Eukaryota; Metazoa; Chordata; Mammalia; Perissodactyla; Equidae
Source: RefSeq, a predicted model, not a curated record
CGCUUGGUUUCGGACAAGCCCCAGCCUCAGCCCCUCCCUCUACAGCCGGACCCAGCCCGUGUACGUCUUUGGCCGGUGGAGAUGAUCUCUUCGUGGUUCUUCUGGGACUCCUGGGAGUGAGCAUCAAUGGGAGGUUAUGUGCCCACCUUCCCACACUCACCCUGAUACCCCAAGCAUGAGGAGCAAUAAAAUGAAGUGGUCAGCUGUGCCAGCAGCAUCCAUUUCCCUGAGGGCCAAAACAUACCUGCAGCUGCUGGGCAAGGCGAGCAUUUUCUCCCCGAACUGCUAGGACCUCCUCUGAAAGCUGCUCCAGCUUCUUCAACAAUUCCUUGAUCUGAGGCCAAAAGGAAAGAAAGGGAAGCAAUGAGGCCCAAGUCAUUUCCCACUCCAAUACCACCCAGGGUCAAGGAUGCCACCACAGCAUGGCGUAGGUCUGUACCCAGGAUCAGAACCGGCGAAUCCCGGGCUGCCGAAGCGGUGUGCACAAACUUAACCACUACGCAACAGGGCUGGCCCCCUGACCCACUUCUGACUGCUGACCACUGAGGGAAAUGGAGGCUACAAACUCCUCGAAAACAGACAGUACGAUUUUGGUUUAAUUUGAACAGGACUUCCCUCUUUCCACCUGCCCAUCAUCCCAGCAGUUAAGUCUCCACAGUGGCGCUGCCAAUCGCAGAGCUCAACAUAUGCAGAUUGACUGACUGUCAGUCAGUCCUUGGCAACACUGCUUUAUGACCUGCCCUCAAGGGCAGCAUUAAGCAUAGUGCCUCACACAGUAGGUGUUAAAUAAAUGUUUGUGAAUUAAUGAAUAAAUGAUUACCAGUUCUUUUAUUGGGGAUGAGUAGGGUAUAUUUGACCAAAUAUUAUUUGUGACUACAAGAUAAAGUUAGAAUACUCUGGGUCCACUGAGUCCCUUUGCAGGAGUAGUAACAAGAGGCUG